Molecule: ribosomal RNA, 440 nt
Filed under: uncultured bacterium
Lineage: Bacteria
Description: bacterial SSU rRNA
Rfam family: Bacterial small subunit ribosomal RNA
Source: RNAcentral
AACGCGAAGAACCUUACCCAGGUUAGAAGUGCAGGAGAAGAUAGCAGAGAUGUUAUCGUCCGCAAGGACUGCUGCAUAGGUGCUGCAUGGCUGUCGUCAGCUCGUGCCGUGAGGUGUUGGGUUAAGUCCCGCAACGAGCGCAACCCUUAUCAUUAGUUGCCAACGAGUAAUGUCGGGGACUCUAGUGAGACUGCCUAGGUUAACUAGGAGGAAGGUGAGGAUGACGUCAAGUCCGCAUGGCCUUUAUGUCUGGGGCUACACACGUGCUACAAUGGUCGGUACAGAAGGCAGCGAAACCGAGAGGUGGAGCAAAUCCCCAAAGCCGAUCUCAGUUCAGAUUGUAGUCUGCAACUCGACUACAUGAAGCUGGAAUUGCUAGUAAUGACGUGUCAGCAACAACGUCGUGAAUACGUUCCCGGGCCUUGUACACACCGGUACUA